AUGGAAGCAUCGCCAGGGUGGCACCAGGAGAAGACUUCCCUGGGCGUUUUAGGAGAAAGACGCCGGACCGCUCGGGAAAUUGAUGCUGACGGACGUUUGCCCGGUAAUACCGGAGCCGGUUGCUUCCAGUCCUUAAUUGGAAUGAAUCUGCAAAUCUGGACCUGCUCUCACUUCGCUUCAGUCACAGAGAGGCUUCUGCAUGUGCGGUGUGAUUUAGAUCUCCAUCUGGACCUCGGCCAGUUUCUGCUCCGUGGAUCUAAGUGAGAACGAUUACCUUGUAAAUACCUGCCUGUGACAGCUGUUCCAGCUGCUACGGGAAAACCUCAGGAGGGCAAUACAAAUUCUCAAAAUACACCAUGAAGGCUCCUCCUGUGCUCUUCAGCUUUACUCUCAGUGCUGCUGGAGGCUGUUCCCUCUGCUCACUGCUUCCAGAAUAUGUGACAAACCUGUGGCUCCACGCCCACACUCAGGUUAAUCAUUUGACAGGACUGUAAUGACCAGGAGGGGUUUUAUGAAAUGUCUAUGGAGAGCUUACCUUUAUAAACCCUUUAAAUGUUCUUCUGCAGAUUCCAGAUUAAAAGAGUCAGACUUCAAACCAACAAGCAGGGGUGCAACUCCAGAAACUAUUAUUGCCUUGUUAAUAUACAGUAACCGAUACAGCCGUAACCUUCAGACAUACAUGAGUGAAUCUCUGGUCUCAGAAACAGGAAACAGGUUUGACUUUGUGAAACUUUAACAUUUGUGCUAACAGAAUGAUGAAAGAUCAGGAACAUCAGGAAGCACAUUUACAUGCUUUGGCCAAAAACUUCCCCGAGACCACAGAGGAUCACAGCAGCAAGAGUCCAGUGUGGAAAUCCUGGCAGCUGUGGGUCAACAACACAGACUGUGUAUAAAACAUGGAAGCAGUUACUGUGACACAACCCAGUUAUAUGGACAACAGGUGGAGCGCUAAGGUAAAUGCUAAUACUAGCUAGCCCAGUUAGCAAGCUGCUUCCAUGAACUGGGUGCAUCACAUCCAUGAUGUCAUAGAGAUUCCUGCUAAUGCGUGCCAAGCAACAAAGUGAUGAAAUGUUAGGAAGGUCUGUGUGGGUACCCUCACAGCAGCCGUGCUAUUGGUAGGAUUUGGUAAAUGUUUUAUUCUGCUGUGAAGUCGCAUGUUUUAACAUGGCAGGCCUUUGGGAAUGACUCUGACUGGAGCCUCUAGUGGUCAUUAGAAGAACUGCAGUUAUUGGCAGUCAUGAAAAGGUUUUUAGUCUUGCAGGUUGCUGAUUGACUUGUUGGUGACUGAAAUAGCAGAUGUUUUUUGAAACAAAGCAGAGAGUCCAUCACAGAAGAGGACGGAGACUUUUACACAUCAGUGUCACAGAGACGACGUCCAAACAUAAACCUGCAUCUCAUCUGCUGCAGGAUGUGUUAUUACACUCUAUGGCUUUAUACAUAAAACUGAAACAUUUUUAUUUUGUCUGUAUUUAUGCAUGAUAGGUUCACUGUCUGGUUCGCUGUAAAAUCUUGAUUAGGAUAUUUGUUGUAUGAUUUCCUUCACAGUUCUGCAGCAGGCAGCACGUUUCACACUGUUGGAUCAUAUAAAAAAAUCAUGAUGAAAAAAUAUUUUUCUGUAUGCACAAUUUAGACAAAUUAAUCUAAUUAAUAAUUUGCUGUCAAUUAGGAGCUUCACUCCUCCCGUGUGAAGCUACAGCUGAUAAGAUCAAAUUAAUUUGGUUGUUAAACUGACAGAAAACAGACAAACGUUCAAAAGUCCAACAAUUAAAUCUGUUUGUUUUUUAUCAACCAACAAAUAAAAAACAUCAAAUGUUUUCAGUUUAUUUGUAAAAGUCAUAAAAAUUCAUAUGAAACGUAUUUUUGCAAAGCUCAUGAAAAAUAAAGAAAUAAAUAUCCUUGUAUUUUAAAAUAAACGAGACAUGAAGCUGAAACCUUUUGGAACAUUUUCAUGAAAGACGUCAGCACUGAAUGUGAAACAGCAGCUGCUCGUUUCACCCUCGUCCUCGAAUAACGAAAAGCAACAAUCAUGGCUGCACAGUUUUUCUGUUUAGAUGAUGAAUUUUCAAAUUACAUUCCUCCUCUACGUUACAUUAAUAUUAAAUGUGCAUGAAUCACCUCGCUCUCAGGUGUAAAACCAUCAGAGUUUGUUCCUGCAGCAGCAUCCUACCUGCUCAGAGAGGUGAGGAGUUUCUCUCGGCGGUGCCGAAGUCUGGUCUCAGUCCGGCUCUCUCACUGACUGACCGGCAGGAGGAGGACGAGGAGGGUGAUGGACGGAGAGAGAAAGAGGAGGGGAGGGGAGGAGGAGUGCAGUAAAAUUUUCUCAUACUUGAAGAAUUUUUCCUCCCUCUCUCCUCUCUUCCUCCUCUGUUUCCCUCUGAUGUAAUUCUGUGGGCUUUACAGGUCCCCGCUGGGCGGAGGGCUGGAGAUGGAAAACAUCUGAUUUUUAGAUGUUUUCAGGGGAACGCAGGGGCUCUCAUGUGUUUCAGAGGGGUCUGGGUCCCCCGCUGCAGGAUGCUCUGUUGGUUAGCGGGCGCUGAUUGACCUGCUCCAGCUGACCUCACUCGGGGCUCUUUUGUGCUGAGAGAGAGUAAAAUAAGUGCGUGACAAGCUUUUCAUUGAUGUGUGACUGCAGGUUUGGACAGAGUUACAUGUGUGCUGAUUUAAACAGCUCAGGAAGGAAACCAGAGCUGAUUCACAGCAUAGACUGUAAAGCAGGGGUCCCCAAUCUCAGUCCACGAGGGCCGGUGUCCCUGCAGGUUUUAGAUGUGUCCUUGAUCCAUCACAGCUGAUUUAAAUGGAUAAAUUACCUCCUCAACAUGUCUUGAAGUUCUCCAGAGGCCUGGUAAUGAACUAAUCAUGUGAUUCAGGUGUGUUGACACAGGGUGAGAUCUAAAACCUGCAGGGACACCGGCCCUCGUGGACUGAGAUUGGGGACCCCUGCUGUAAAGUAAAGAUGGAGGGAGGACUCCUGGGUUUGGGAGACAUUUUUAGUCCCUCGUGUUGUUUUAUUGCUGCGAGAAUGUGUUUGGAUGACGUUUGCAAGCCUUGUUGGUAGAUACCUGCUCGGCCCCGACUGCACACCUGCAGCCACCUGCCCACACUCCUCACUUCAGACCUUAGUGAUGUUGCACAUCUCAGUGACACACACACACACACACACACACACACACACACACACACACACACACACACACACACACACACACUGUCUUUAGUUUUUCUGUUCAGCUCAAAGACGUGUGAGACGACGCCUGAAGGCACGCUCAGGACUUUAUGGUCUAAAUUUAUCACCAGCUUCAUGAC
Oreochromis niloticus (Nile tilapia) is the source of this 3303-nucleotide long non-coding RNA. The record is from Ensembl. Lineage: Eukaryota; Metazoa; Chordata; Actinopteri; Cichliformes; Cichlidae.